This 21-nucleotide non-coding RNA is filed under the name Caenorhabditis elegans. Lineage: Eukaryota; Metazoa; Nematoda; Chromadorea; Rhabditida; Rhabditidae. The record is from RNAcentral.
UAUCAUUUUCAUACUUUGUUU